UUCACAAUGUAAGUCAUUCUAGCAUUUCCCAUAUUCAUAUUGAUGUUAAUAAAUCUAGAUGUUAAUAAAUCUAGAUAGAUAUAUAUGUCUAGAAUCAUUAACAUCAAUAUGAAUGUGGGAAAUGCUAGAAUGACUUACAUUGUGAAAUGG
This 150-nucleotide unclassified non-coding RNA is filed under the name Oryza sativa (Asian cultivated rice). Its description in RNAcentral is "partial microRNA MIR455b-3 precursor". The record is from RNAcentral. Lineage: Eukaryota; Viridiplantae; Streptophyta; Magnoliopsida; Poales; Poaceae.